UUUAGCUCCUUAUUGUUCAGUGUCACCAUGCCUGAUAAUGAGAUUGUAAUUGACAAAUUGACAGAUAAUCCUGAGCAAACUGAAAAAAAUAAUUCUCAAGUCACAUAUCAUAACUUCACUGUCUUAUGUAGACAAAGGCAUUUCAGUAAAAACUAUCAGGUGUAUCCAAGUCAUUUAGACAUAUUAAUAUUAAGUUGAGUUCAUAUUUUUCUACAAGUCAUCUUAAAAUGUAAAAUAUUCUUUUGAACUCAUGUUUCAUACCUUUUGUUGUCCAGGCCUUUUCCAUGAUGUCCAUGACAAUCAGCCAUCUGUGCCCAGUUCAAAAGAUCUCAUCAAUAUGUAGAAGUUCUGGUAUCUGGUCUACAACUUCUGCAAAGUUCUGUACAUCUAUUCCAGAAAGCAACUGAAACAAUGCCACUAAAUUUCUACCUCUCCCUGAAACUUUAAGACUCAAUUCCACAAAGAAACUACAACAAAGCCAUUUUUUUUUCUCUUUUCAACUUUAAGGUACAGACUGAAAUUUGGAAGAUACUCCACCGGAUUUAUUUUACCUUGUUACCACAUUAUGUAUUUACUAUAACAAUGCUACCAUUUUACCUAUAGUUUAGUAUUGUGAUAUUUUG
This is a non-coding RNA of Pelobates cultripes (western spadefoot toad), 623 nucleotides long. Lineage: Eukaryota; Metazoa; Chordata; Amphibia; Anura; Pelobatidae. The record is from the annotation of a GenBank genome assembly.